UAAGGAUAAUGUAUUUAAAAUAAGUGUUGUUUGGGAUGUUUUCCAUAUACUGGUUAAAGUUGUCAUUGGUGGUUUCCAAGGAGGUGCUCAUCUGUUUUCCUUUGUUUGUUCGUUUUGUCCUCCUCUGCUUGCUUUGUUUGUGUCUGUGUGUUGUGUUUGUGUAAGAGUGCUUGCCAUGUGCAAGUCCGCUUGUUGUUGCCCUUUGUGGAGUAUCCGUAUUUGAACGUAGCUUUACCUGUAGGGUAGUAUCCAUAUCAUCCUAACUCAACGGGACCUCAUCUAAAAUAAGGCUUAAAUGAGCAGUUUAACUUUAAUGAUAAUGUUUUCAUUACUUAGUCAGACUCUAAUGAUGUUAUUAGUUUAAAUACAGAAUCGACCCAGUUUUGGCAUUUGAAAUUGAGAAUGGUUAAGUACAUAUUGCUGAAUUUUUCUAAUUUCUGUUAACGAUUUUUAUUAAAUCAAGGUUUUCAAGGUUUUCAUGCACAUAUAAAGCUAAUGUUUUAUAAAUGUUACAUUGAUCUCUCUCGUGGGAAAUAUUUUCUGAGGAAAAAAUGACCCUUAAAGCAUUGAGCGAUCUUAAAUGUAACUAUAUGGCAGUGUUGAUGUGUAAAGUUAAAGACUAUGAUGUCAUGACUUUGGUGAUAGACGAUCAGCCAGCCGCCGAUUGCACAUAUAAAACAUGUGAGAUACAUCAAAUUGAAGGAAUAAACUAUAGAUUCUCCUUUGAUACGGGUAUUGGGAUAUUCAAUAUCUCCAUGGAUCCAGUGACAUUUGCUGACAAUGGGAGGACAUUCAAAUGUGAUGAUGGUGAUACCUCGUUGCUGUUUUCAAUGCAAUUGUUAAUGUUAUCCCUGAAAACAGUGCCAACACUAUCUCGUCUGCAAAAGGUCCAUCCAACUCUACUAAAAUAAAAGCUACAUCAGGAUGCCUUUAUCCGAGUACAAGCAUCUUCUUUUGAGCAAACGUGUAGUGGAAACCUGUCCAUGAAAAAAAACAACACCACAGGUCCUGUAAUUGGCAGUAGUGCUAGGGAAACAGAAUUGAAUCUAGGAGUCAAUAUUUUGUUUUUUUUCCCUGAUACUGUAUGUGCUAUAAAGUGAUGUGAAAUAGAGCUAACAUAUUACAAUGUACAUAUUGUGUUAUAUCUACAAAUGUGUUAUCAGAAUCUUUUAUCCUAUAUUGCAUGGAAACAAGUAGAUAACUAUUCGAUUCCGCCAUAAUGCAACUGCAUUUUGUGUUCGCACCAUUUGGCUAUUUUAUCAAUUACUUAAAUUGAUUUAAUAUUUUAUUUCAUACAACCGGUCACCGUGGCCCAGUGGUAAAGGCGUCCGACUCGGGAUCGGGAGGUCGAAGGUUAGAGCCCCAUAGGGAGCGUUCGUCCGGGGGAGAUGUUUGUCAUUGGACUCGUUCCGAAAAGGCCGGUUCGUGAGCCGCGAGCUAGUUGAAUUAAUGGUUACCGAAUUCUAUCCGCCUGGCAUAGUGGUAGGUGUUGGGAGGUAAUUGGUACGCACAAUAAAGGUGUCUCAUAAGCCAAAUUGGCUCGCCCUUUCAAUAUGAGUGACACUAUAAUGAACAAGACCGUUACUUUAUUAUGCAAAAGACCACAUAGGAACAUAAAAUUAUUGAC
Long non-coding RNA from Mercenaria mercenaria, 1627 nucleotides. RefSeq lists it as uncharacterized. The record is from RefSeq and is a predicted model, not a curated record. The transcript is spliced from 3 exons. Lineage: Eukaryota; Metazoa; Mollusca; Bivalvia; Venerida; Veneridae.